Molecule: ribosomal RNA, 485 nt
Filed under: uncultured bacterium
Lineage: Bacteria
Description: partial 16S ribosomal RNA
Rfam family: Bacterial small subunit ribosomal RNA
Source: RNAcentral
AUUGAACGCUGGCGGCAGGCUUAACACAUGCAAGUCGAGCGGGGAAGAGUAGCUUGCUCCUUGACCUAGCGGCGGACGGGUGAGUAAUGCUUAGGAAUCUGCCUAUUAGUGGGGGACAACAUCUCGAAAGGGAUGCUAAUACCGCAUACGUCCUACGGGAGAAAGCAGGGGACCUUCGGGCCUUGCGCUAAUAGAUGAGCCUAAGUCGGAUUAGCUAGUUGUUGGGGUAAAGGCCUACCAAGGCGACGAUCUGUAGCGGGUCUGAGAGGAUGAUCCGCCACACUGGGACUGAGACACGGCCCAGACUCCUACGGGAGGCAGCAGUGGGGAAUAUUGGACAAUGGGGGGAACCCUGAUCCAGCCAUGCCGCGUGUGUGAAGAAGGCCUUUUGGUUGGAAAGCACUUUAAGCGAGGAGGAGGCUACCGAGAUUAAUACUCUUGGAUAGUGGACGUUACUCGCAGAAUAAGCACCGGCUAACUCUGUG